GUGACAGCAGCCGCGGUAAAACGUAGGAGGCGAGCGUUAUCCGGAUUUACUGGGUGUAAAGCGCGUGCAGGCGGUCGGUUAAGUUGGCUGUGAAAGCUCCCGGCUCAACUGGGAGAGGUCGGUCAAGACUGGCGGACUGGAGAGCAGUAGGGGAAGGUGGAAUUCCGGGUGUAGUGGUGAAAUGCGUAGAUAUCCGGAGGAACACCAGUGGCGAAGGCGGCCUUCUGGACUGCAUCUGACGCUCAGGCGCGAAAGCUAGGGGAGCAAACGGGAUUAGAAACCCGAGUAGUCC
Molecule: ribosomal RNA, 292 nt
Filed under: uncultured bacterium
Lineage: Bacteria
Description: partial 16S ribosomal RNA
Rfam family: Bacterial small subunit ribosomal RNA
Source: RNAcentral